GACGAACGCUGGCGGCGUGCUUAACACAUGCAAGUCGAACGGUGAAGCUCCAGCUUGCUGGUGUGGAUCAGUGGCGAACGGGUGAGUAACACGUGAGCAACCUGCCCCUGACUCUGGAAUAAGCGCUGGAAACGGCGUCUAAUACUGGAUACGAGAAGGGUCCGCAUGGGCACUUUCUGGAAAGUUUUUCGGUUGGGGAUGGGCUCGCGGCCUAUCAGCUUGUUGGUGGGGUAAUGGCUCACCAAGGCGACGACGGGUAGCCGGCCUGAGAGGGCGACCGGCCACACUGGGACUGAGACACGGCCCAGACUCCUACGGGAGGCAGCAGUGGGGAAUAUUGCACAAUGGGCGAAAGCCUGAUGCAGCGACGCCGCGUGAGGGAUGACGGCCUUCGGGUUGUAAACCUCUUUCAGCAGGGAAGAAGCGAAAGUGACGGUACCUGCAGAAGAAGCACCGGCUAACUACGUG
This 468-nucleotide ribosomal RNA is filed under the name uncultured bacterium. Its description in RNAcentral is "partial 16S ribosomal RNA". It matches the Rfam family "Bacterial small subunit ribosomal RNA", at positions 28 to 507 of the family's 1533-position model. The record is from RNAcentral.